AUUGAACGCUAGCGGGAUGCUUUACACAUGCACGUCGAACGAGUGGCGGACGGGUGAGUAAUAUAUCGGAAAGUGCCCAGUCGCGGGGGAUAACUACUCGCAACAGUAGCUAAUACCGCAUACUAUUGGAGAGGCCCAUAUCGGAUUGGCUAGUUGGUGGGGUAAAGGCUCACCAAGGCAACGAUCCGUAGCUGGUUUGAGAGGACGAACAGACACACUGGGACUGAGACACGGCCCAGACUCCUACGGGAGGCAGCAGUGGGGAAUGUUGGACAAUGGGGGAAACCCUGAGCCACCCAUCCCGCGUGUAUGAGAAGGCCUUCGGGUUGUAAAGUACUUUUGGCAGAGAAGCGGUAUCUGCAGAAUAAGCACCGGCUAACUACGUGCCAGCAGCCGCGGUAAUUC
This 405-nucleotide ribosomal RNA is filed under the name uncultured bacterium. RNAcentral's name for it is "partial 16S ribosomal RNA". It matches the Rfam family "Bacterial small subunit ribosomal RNA", at positions 30 to 526 of the family's 1533-position model. The record is from RNAcentral.